Long non-coding RNA from Homo sapiens (human), 3035 nucleotides. Ensembl annotates it as long intergenic non-protein coding RNA 1116. Lineage: Eukaryota; Metazoa; Chordata; Mammalia; Primates; Hominidae. The record is from Ensembl.
GCCCGCAUGGGGCCGAGGUUCCUGGCCGACGCGCGAGGGCGCGGGCGGGUACCGGGUUCCCGUUUUUCCCAGGCCCCGAUCCCCGCCCACGCACGAGGCCCCCGGCCCACGCACGAGGCGCCCACGCCCAUCGUGGAGGCUCCGCCUGGAAAAGAAGUCCGACUUCCUCUCCAAGCUGCUCCGAGGGGAAUGGGGAAUCGGCAGGAAAUGACCCGAACUGCCAGCCUGCGCCUUUGCAGCCGGCCCUCGCUUUGCUGAAGACGAGCAGCUCCCACCAAAGUCUUGCCUCCCCUUACCCCGAAAGCCCCGCUCAGUUCAAUAUUUCAAGUGAAAAUCUGCCUGUUCGAAAAGAAAAUAUUCACAAAUGAGCAGUGUAUUAGAAGACAACUGAAUUGCUUCUAAGAAUGGGUCUCACUCUGCCAUCACCCAGGCUGGAGUGUGGUGGCACCAUCAUGGCUCACUGCAGCCUUGAACUCCUGAGCUCAAGUCAUCCUCCCACCUCAGCCUUCCGAGUAGCUGGAACUGCAGCUCUCACCAUGUGACGUGCCUGCUUCCACUUCUCCUUCUACCAUGAUUGGAAGAUUCCUGAGGCCUUCACCAGAAGCCUAGCAGAUGCUGGUGCCAUGCUUGUACAGCCUGCAGAAACAUGAGCCAAUUAAAGCCCUUUCGUUUAUAAAUUACCCAGCAUCAGCCAACAUGUCCAUUUCCACCCUCCACCCUCAUUCUCACAUUAAGCUAUGGAGAGGGGGAAUAUUUGUACUUUUUUCAUGGUCUUCCAAAGGAUGGACAUACUACUGCCACGAGAGAAAUUGCUGGUCAGAGAGAAGCAAUUCCUUAGAGAAAGCAACCCACAUAUCAUCACCCAAGAGAGCUGAACCAUUGCCAACAUCUCCAUCAGGAACUUGGAAGAGUUUUCUGUCUUCCCAACACAAUAAAACUGGAGACACGAGCAUGCAGAGCUCCAGCCAGCACAAUUACAUAAAGCCAAAGCACAUUAUCACUUGCAGGCUGCAGGAUUUAUGGCCAACUAUGAUGGAAAAUACAGAGAUACUUUACUUGUCUGAAUUCAACACUCAAAAAAGAUAGUAUGUAUUAUAUUAAUGAUAGAGAAAAGUUGUAUAUAUUGUACUUUUUCUAAUGAAAACCUUAGUAAACAGAGCAGAAACAGAUGCCAGCAUCUUAGAGAAGAAAGAAAAAUGGAAAAGAUUGCCAGUUUGCUCCUCUUCAGACAAUAUGCAAUUGCUGUUCUUGUUGAAAAAUUCCUUUCAAAUGCAUUGAGGCAGCAUUUCUAUUUUGGUGGUUUUCUGCAUUUGAGUUGCUGCUUCUAACUUGAGUGGAACAGAGAAGUUUGUAUUCUCUAUGGGUGUCUGCUGUUCCAAGUAUGAAGCAGUGAAGCUAAAAUCACUUUACUUCUAGAAACCUGUGAUUUCCAUUUGCCAUGAGGUUAGCACUUCCUCUGGCAGUGCCUUUGCCACGAACUGUCAUAGAACCAUGCUGUUUAUCUAGCAUAGCAUUCUUCUUUAUCAUAGCUGCUUACCACUUGUUUCUGCUCUGGAAUGCACCCUGUACGUGCAGGUUAUGUGGUGUCCUGGCCCAGUGCUGGCACACGGUGAGCACUCACAAAAAUAUUGAAGAGCUCUCUUCAGGUUGUAAUUUUAUGUUACCAAUGUUUUUACACAGUUGGUUUGCAUUAUGAGUACACAGUGAGAAGGUAAACCAGUGUGCUGUUUGUCUAUCGUUUCCAAAUUUUGAAUUAUUUAAAUACAUGUUAGUGAAAUCACUGUUUAUCAGAACCAAAAUUGCAAUCUUAAAACUUCUGCAAGAUAGAAAAGAUUGUUUAACAAAGGAAGGAAAAUAUUACAAAAACAGAUUUCUCUCUUAAUUUUGUCAGUGCUUGGACUUGGUCCCCAAAUCUUAAAAGUGAAUUUGUUUCCAGAACACCUGAAACAGAGACCACAUUUUUAUGUUUGCCUUUUUGCAGUGAAGUUUACAUUAGGGAGCUAUAUUUUCCUUAUAUUUAUUUUUAAAUCAUUUGGGCUUUCCAAUAAAAUAGCAUUCUCAUUUUCUUCCCUCUUCCCAGAUUAAUGCAUUUAUUAUUUUAAUGCAUGAAGGGGUCCACGUGGCGCUAUGGUUGGUGGCUGGGAUGCUCUGGAGUGGUGCGCUUGGAAAACAAUGUGUUAUUUGCACUUGAGAAAAUACUUUGUUGGCUAAGUGUCUAGGCACUGAAACAGUAACAGUUCAUCAAAAGACAGUUAUCCCAGAUACGCUUCCAAGAGUGGCAAUCAGUUUUCCUAAAGAGUCAAAGAAAAGAGUGAGAAUUGUGGGAAGUGGGAGACUAGAAGGACAGACUCAUUUGGAAACAGGAAGUGGUUCAAGGAACUUAGGAUUUGGAAUAUAGGAAAAGAAAUGGGGAAACAUACCCAUGCCUUCUCUUCUCUGUAGACAUCCAAUUUGAACCUACUCCAGAUUAGUAGGAAGUAAAAUCAUUAUCUGAUGUUCUGUGGCCACAUGGAAAAUACAUUGGUAGUUGCAACCAGACUAGAGUCAACAUUGAGAAACCAAUAGAACCACUAACUUGGGCUGGUGAGGCACAGCUACUGGUCAAAACCUGCCCAGGAGGCCCAGUACCACUCACAGUCAGGAUCGGGGUCAUGGUAGGGGAAGGUCAGCUAGCUUACUGCAGCCCAUCUCUGAUGGGGAGGUGAGGACUUCCAGCCCUGGGCUGCUCAUUCACCUCCCCUCUGGAGCAGUAAACAGGGAAGUAGCAAGAAGCUAAGCUCCUUUUGUUAGGCAUUGUUAAUUCCUCCAAGGUGACCAUUGAUGUAUUUUUUAUUCAGUAACUUAGCAUAUAUGUGUGUGCACAAUUAAUAGUUAUAUAUAAUAAAAGUGAAUAUAUUAAAAUUUAAAAAAAUAAAUUAUGAUCAUUGCACAAUUCUGUGACUAUACUACAAACCAUUAAAAUGUAUACUUUAAAUGGGUGUUUUUUAUGUUAUUUAUGUGAUUAUGUCUCAAUAAAGAUGUUUUAAAACCAUAAA